Suncus etruscus (white-toothed pygmy shrew) is the source of this 151-nucleotide long non-coding RNA. RefSeq lists it as uncharacterized. Lineage: Eukaryota; Metazoa; Chordata; Mammalia; Eulipotyphla; Soricidae. The transcript has 3 exons. The record is from RefSeq and is a predicted model, not a curated record.
GGGGUGGCCCGGGAUCUCUCAGAUGCAAGAAAGGGGGCCUGGUUCGUGUCUGAUUUCCACACCCCAGCUAGUGGUUGUCUACAUUUCAAAAAGCUGCAACUUUUCAUUUGAUGAAAGACUCUUGUACUUUUUUUUUUUAACUUUAUACUUA